RNAcentral lists this unclassified non-coding RNA (702 nucleotides) under Amphibalanus amphitrite. RNAcentral's name for it is "cuticle protein AM1274-like, transcript variant X2". The record is from RNAcentral. Lineage: Eukaryota; Metazoa; Arthropoda; Thecostraca; Balanomorpha; Balanidae.
AUGAAGUUUAGUGAAACCCGAUUUUACAUAGUUUGCAAAAAUACUUAUGAAUUGUAAAGUUCAAACACUUGUAAUCGCAAGUUUUUAGUGAAACAGGCCUCAGAAGAGCUUCCGCUUCAUCAUUGCCGCUCUGGCGCUGGUGGCCGCCGCCGACCGGCCGGCGUACCCGACCCCGGCCUACGGCCCCCGGCCCGCCUACCCGGCCCCGGCUCACGGCAGCUACAAGCCCAUCGCCAUCCUCGAGGAGGAGAGCGUCCACCCCGGAGAUGGCACCUACAACUUCCACUUCAGCACCGAGAACGGCAUCUACAGGUCUGAGAACGGCGUGCCUCUGCCCGGCUACGGCAAGAACGCCUACGGACAGCCCGAGGGCAGCUACCGCCAGGAGGGCUCCUGGAGCUACACCGACGGAUACGGAAACCCCGUCAAGGUGACAUUUGUCGCCGACGACAACGGCUACCAGCCGUCCAGCGACAUCCUGCCCACCCCGGUGCCCACCGAGUACCCGACCCCCGAGGUGGACACCGCCUACGUCGAGCCUGCCUACGGCAAGCCCGCCUACCAGCCCGCCUACAACUAAGGUCACCCAUGGAGUACAAUAGUAGUGAUUCAUUUAUUGUAUUUAUUUGAUGUUUGUGUGUAAUUUAUGCAUUCAUCAUUGUCCACGUCAUGAACAAAAUAAACGUUUCAAUGAUUGUAUUA